GUGGGGAAUAUUGCGCAAUGGGGGAAACCCUGACGCAGCAACGCCGCGUGAUUGAAGAAGGCUUUCGGGUUGUAAACUUCUUUGACGAGGGACGAAAAAAAUGACGGUACCUCGAAAACAAGCCACGGCUAACUACGUGCCAGCAGCCGCGGUAAUACGUAGGUGGCAAGCGUUGUCCGGUUUUACUGGGUGUAAAGGGCGUGUAGGCGGGAUUACAAGUCAGAUGUGAAAUGUAGGGGCUUAACCCCUGAGCUGCAUUUGAAACUGUAGUUCUUGAGUGAUGGAGAGGCAGGCGGAAUUCCUAGUGUAGCGGUGAAAUGCGUAGAUAUUAGGAGGAACACCAGUGGCGAAGGCGGCCUGCUGGACAUUAACUGACGCUGAGGCGCGAAAGCGUGGGGAGCAAACAGGAUUAGAUACCCCUGUAGUCC
This 428-nucleotide ribosomal RNA is filed under the name uncultured bacterium. RNAcentral describes it as "partial 16S ribosomal RNA". It matches the Rfam family "Bacterial small subunit ribosomal RNA", at positions 354 to 796 of the family's 1533-position model. The record is from RNAcentral.